Molecule: ribosomal RNA, 404 nt
Filed under: Fusobacteriota bacterium
Lineage: Bacteria; Fusobacteriati; Fusobacteriota
Description: Fusobacteria bacterium partial 16S ribosomal RNA
Rfam family: Bacterial small subunit ribosomal RNA
Source: RNAcentral
UGGGGAAUAUUGCACAAUGGAGGGAACUCUGAUGCAGCGACGCCGCGUGAGUGAUGAAGGAAUUCGUUUCGUAAAACUCUGUUCUAUGGGAAGAAAAGGACUGUACCAUAGGAGAAAGCUCCGGCUAAAUACGUGCCAGCAGCCGCGGUAAUACGUAUGGAGCGAGCGUUGUCCGGAAUUAUUGGGCGUAAAGGGUGCGCAGGCGGCUUUACAAGUUGGAGGUGAAAUAUUGUGGCUCAACCACAAACGUGCAUCCAAAACUGCAAAGCUUGAGUUAAGGAGAGGUAAGUGGAAUUCCUGGUGUAGCGGUGGAAUGCGUAGAUAUCAGGAGGAAUACCGGUGGCGAAGGCGACUUACUGGACUUAAACUGACGCUCAGGCACGAAAGCGUGGGGAGCAAACAGG